GUGGGGAAUAUUGGACAAUGGGCGCAAGCCUGAUCCAGCAAUGCCGCGUGGGUGAAGAAGGUCUUCGGAUCGUAAAGCCCUUUCGACAGGGACGAUGAUGACGGUACCUGUAGAAGAAGCUCCGGCUAACUUCGUGCCAGCAGCCGCGGUAAUACGAAGGGGGCUAGCGUUACUCGGAAUUACUGGGCGUAAAGGGCGCGUAGGCGGCUCUGUUAGUCAGUCGUGAAAUUCCUGGGCUUAACCUGGGGACUGCGCUUGAUACUGCAGGGCUUGAGGCCGAGAGAGGGUGGUGGAAUUCCCGGUGAAGAGGUGAAAUUCGUAGAUAUUGGGAAGAACACCGGUGGCAAAGGCGACCACCUGGCUCGGUUCUGACGCUGAGGCGCGACAGCGUGGGGAGCAAACAGGAGUAGAUACCCUUGUAGUCC
Molecule: ribosomal RNA, 425 nt
Filed under: uncultured bacterium
Lineage: Bacteria
Description: partial 16S ribosomal RNA
Rfam family: Bacterial small subunit ribosomal RNA
Source: RNAcentral